GACGAGCGCUGGCGGCGUGCUUAACACAUGCAAGUCGAACGAUGAAGCCUAGCUUGCUAGGUGGAUUAGUGGCGAACGGGUGAGUAAUACGUGAGUAACCUACCUUUAACUCUGGGAUAAGCCUGGGAAACUGGGUCUAAUACCGGAUACGACCAAUCUCCGCAUGGGGUGUUGGUGGAAAGCGUUAUGUAGUGGUUAUAGAUGGGCUCACGGCCUAUCAGCUUGUUGGUGAGGUAACGGCUCACCAAGGCGACGACGGGUAGCCGGCCUGAGAGGGUGACCGGCCACACUGGGACUGAGACACGGCCCAGACUCCUACGGGAGGCAGCAGUGGGGAAUAUUGCACAAUGGGCGCAAGCCUGAUGCAGCGACGCCGCGUGAGGGAUGACGGCCUUCGGGUUGUAAACCUCUGUUAGCAGGGAAGAAGAGAGAUUGACGGUACCUGCAGAGAAAGCGCCGGCUAACUACGUGCCAGCAGCCGCGGUAAUACGUAGGGCGCGAGCGUUGUCCGGAAUUAUUGGGCGUAAAGAGCUUGUAGGCGGUUUGUCGCGUCUGCUGUGAAGGCCGGGGCUUAACUCCGUGUAUUGCAGUGGGUACGGGCAGACUAGAGUGCAGUAGGGGAGACUGGAAUUCCUGGUGUAGCGGUGGAAUGCGCAGAUAUCAGGAGGAACACCGAUGGCGAAGGCAGGUCCCUGGGCUGUAACUGACGCUGAGAAGCGAAAGCAUGGGGAGCGAACAGGAUUAGAUACCCUGGUAGUCCAUGCCGUAAACGUUGGGCACUAGGUGUGGGGGACAUUCCACGUUUUCCGCGCCGUAGCUAACGCAUUAAGUGCCCCGCCUGGGGAGUACGGCCGCAAGGCUAAAACUCAAAGAAAUUGACGGGGGCCCGCACAAGCGGCGGAGCAUGCGGAUUAAUUCGAUGCAACGCGAAGAACCUUACCAAGGCUUGACAUAUACUGGACCGCAUCAGAGAUGGUGUUUCCCUUCGGGGCUGGUAUACAGGUGGUGCAUGGUUGUCGUCAGCUCGUGUCGUGAGAUGUUGGGUUAAGUCCCGCAACGAGCGCAACCCUCGUUCUAUGUUGCCAGCACGUUAUGGUGGGGACUCAUAGGAGACUGCCGGGGUCAACUCGGAGGAAGGUGGGGAUGACGUCAAAUCAUCAUGCCCCUUAUGUCUUGGGCUUCACGCAUGCUACAAUGGCCGGUACAGAGGGUUGCGAUACUGUGAGGUGGAGCUAAUCCCUAAAAGCCGGUCUCAGUUCGGAUUGGGGUCUGCAACUCGACCCUAUGAAGUCGGAGUCGCUAGUAAUCGCAGAUCAGCAACGCUGCGGUGAAUACGUUCCCGGGCCU
This 1347-nucleotide ribosomal RNA is filed under the name uncultured bacterium. Its description in RNAcentral is "bacterial SSU rRNA". It matches the Rfam family "Bacterial small subunit ribosomal RNA", at positions 28 to 1381 of the family's 1533-position model. The record is from RNAcentral.